AUCGGUUUAAAGGGUACCUAGACGGUAGAUCAAGCUUUCAAAUAAAAAAAGGGACUAWUUUACUAGAGUUACUUAUGAGGGGGUAGUAAAGUACUGGKGGUGUAGAGAUGAAAUUCUGUCAUACCUCUUUUCAAAARAAAACAUAUGGCACAGGUAURGGCGAAGGCCUCCCCUUAUGUGAUAACUGACKUUGAGGGACGAAGGCGACGUGAAACAAACAGGAUUAGAUCCCCUAGUAGUUGUAGCAAAAAAUGAUGAAGGUCAUAGAUNAGAUGUAUAAKUUUAUUCUAUAAAUGAAAGUGUAAGCNUUCCCCCUCAAGAGUAAUUUGGCAACUUUGGAACUGAAAUCAUUAGACCGUUUCUGAAACCAG
Molecule: ribosomal RNA, 371 nt
Filed under: Canoparmelia texana
Lineage: Eukaryota; Fungi; Ascomycota; Lecanoromycetes; Lecanorales; Parmeliaceae
Description: partial small subunit ribosomal RNA
Source: RNAcentral